UACGUAGGUCCCGAGCGUUGUCCGGAUUUAUUGGGCGUAAAGCGAGCGCAGGUGGUUUAUUAAGUCUGGUGUAAAAGGCAGUGGCUCAACCAUUGUAUGCAUUGGAAACUGGUAGACUUGAGUGCAGGAGAGGAGAGUGGAAUUCCGUGUGUAGCGGUGAAAUGCGUAGAGAUAUGGAGGAACACCAGUGGCGAAGGCGGCUUCCUGGUCUGCAACUGACACUGAGGCGCGAAAGCGUGGGGAGCAAACAGG
Molecule: ribosomal RNA, 252 nt
Filed under: uncultured bacterium
Lineage: Bacteria
Description: partial 16S ribosomal RNA
Rfam family: Bacterial small subunit ribosomal RNA
Source: RNAcentral